UACGUAGGGGGCUAGCGUUGUCCGGAAUCAUUGGGCGUAAAGCGCGUGUAGGCGGCCCGGUAAGUCCGCUGUGAAAGUCGGGGGCUCAACCCUCGGAUGCCGGUGGAUACUGUCGGGCUAGAGUGCGGAAGAGGCGAGUGGAAUUCCUGGUGUGGCGGUGAAAUGCGCAGAUAUCAGGAGGAACACCAAUUGCGAAGGCAGCUCGCUGGGACGUGACUGACGCUGAGACGCGAAAGCGUGGGGAGCAAACAGG
Molecule: ribosomal RNA, 253 nt
Filed under: uncultured bacterium
Lineage: Bacteria
Description: partial 16S ribosomal RNA
Rfam family: Bacterial small subunit ribosomal RNA
Source: RNAcentral